CGACUGACUGGCGAUGGUGCCCGCCCGGAAGACGACUUCCGAACCGCCACAAGGCUGAUGGCCCCUGCGAACGA
RNAcentral lists this non-coding RNA (74 nucleotides) under Mycobacterium kansasii. RNAcentral describes it as "Fluoride sequence". It matches the Rfam family "Fluoride riboswitch aptamer (crcB RNA motif)". Lineage: Bacteria; Bacillati; Actinomycetota; Actinomycetes; Mycobacteriales; Mycobacteriaceae. RNAcentral also lists the same sequence under 1 other name. The record is from RNAcentral.